This 440-nucleotide ribosomal RNA is filed under the name uncultured bacterium. Its description in RNAcentral is "partial 16S ribosomal RNA". It matches the Rfam family "Bacterial small subunit ribosomal RNA", at positions 338 to 795 of the family's 1533-position model. The record is from RNAcentral.
CCUACGGGCGGCAGCAGUAGGGAAUAUUGCUCAAUGGGGGCAACCCUGAAGCAGCAACGCCGCGUGGAGGAUGAAGGUUUUCGGAUUGUAAACUCCUUUUGUUAGAGAAGAUAGUGACGGUAUCUAACGAAUAAGCACCGGCUAACUCCGUGCCAGCAGCCGCGGUAAUACGGAGGGUGCAAGCGUUACUCGGAAUCACUGGGCGUAAAGAGAGCGUAGGCGGGAUAGCAAGUCAGAUGUGAAAUCCUAUGGCUUAACCAUAGAACUGCAUUUGAAACUGUUAUUCUAGAGUAUGGGAGAGGUAGGUGGAAUUCUUGGUGUAGGGGUAAAAUCCGUAGAGAUCAAGAGGAAUACUCAUUGCGAAGGCGACCUGCUAGAACAUAACUGACGCUGAUGCGCGAAAGCGUGGGGAGCAAACAGGAUUAGAUACCCUUGUAGUC